GAUAAAAAAAUACUUCAGAGAAAAACGUAACAAAUCGUACGUUACGAUAAGCAUUUGCCAGCAUGUCAAGUCCGCACGUGCGGCUGGAUUCGCGCCAAGUGUGCCUGCGUAUUUUACUACCUCGUCUGUACGUCGUGCGCUCCUAAUAAAUUAGUAUUAUCAAUUUCCUCGACUAAACUCAAACUGCUUGAUGUAAACAACCGACUGAAUAUAAAAAAUAUAAAGUACUGGCCAGUCAUAGUUAUGGAAAUUAUCGCAAGCUUAAUUCGCUUCGUGUAACUAUCGAUAAGAGAGAAAAUAUAAUGUAACCAGCAAAACAAAUCCAAAUAACAUAGAAAUACUUUCAAAUGUGAGAGGUGAUAGUCAAGUAAGAAAUCAAGUAAGAAUAGUUAUGUGAAUUCUUUUAUUUCUACUAUUUCUUACUGUAAAUUUAAAAACUUAUUUUAUCUUAUCUUAUAAGAUGCAUUCUAUAUAAAAAUAAAUGUUAUAGUUAAUAUUGAUUAAGGAUUAAAAUAAUAAACAAAAAAUUCAAUAUGAUUUGUAAUGUAAAAAGAAUAGAUUAUAUCAUAGCUAAAAAUAAUUAUUUAUUGCAAAAUAAAAUCGAAAAUACAAAUCAAUUUAAGUUAUAAAAGAUAAUCUAUAAAUUAAAAUUAAUAUCAUCCUAUAUAAUUAUAAAUAUUGUUUUCUUAUUCGUGGUUAUUUAAUUUACAAACUAAAUGUCACUAAUAACAUCAGUCGUUAAGGCAAAUUUAAAGAUAUCGCGAAAUAAAAAAUUCCACGGCAAACGAAACUGGAGUCAGAAUCACGUGAUGAAUACGUGAAUAGAAGACAAGUUUGUCGAUGCGUACACUACCUUUUCUACUGCACUCAUUGUCAGUGGCACGUGCUGCUACUAUUAAAAACCAUCAACAAUUGUAUGGUCGUUUCUCAAGUUUUUAUCGCAGACAAACAUUUUCAAAAGAGGCAGUGCUAAUUGGAUGAAGUUUUAUAGAAAUAUAAAAAAUCCUCACUAAUUAGGAUUGUAAGAAAAAAAUAUUGAAUUUUAUACAAUAUAUGUCUGUUAUCCUAGUUAUCUAUAAUUGAAGAAACUUCGUUAAUAAUUAAUAGUAUGUAUUUUUAAUAAAAUUAGUCAUUAUCUCGUUUAGAUGUUUAGAUUUACUUAUAUGAAAUUGAAUUGAAUUUCCUAUCAACAAUUUGGCGGGCGUUGUGACCGAUUCAAGAAAAGUGUAUAUGUUACACAACUGCAUCGCCAUCACGUGACUGGUUGCAGUGUAAUGACGUUAUCGGCACUGUCAAAACGCCAAUGGCAGAGAUUCAGCUUCCAUCGUGCGAUCACGCAAGCGUCUGUUAACCGAGGUUAUGCACCGUUCCGUACUGCGUUGGAUUUAAUUUUAAUCAAACCAUGGUAUGAAAUCAGGAAAACUGCCAGAAGUAACUGUAUACUUUGUAACAGAAACAAAACUAUAUUUCUGUGGCUAAAUAUAAACUUCGUUUCAGCUGUUACACAUGCCAUUCCGAGUUGGCUAAUAAAUGUUCCGUGAUGCAUUUUCGUAAAAUGUAAUUUUUAUGCUCAUGUAAUGAUCUUAUAAAAAAAUUUAAUUAUAAAAUAAUAUCUUAACAAAGAACAUAAUAUGUUAACAAAAACAGAUUCUCAAGUAUAAUCCUUGACAAUUUCCUAAAAAUAUCAUAUCAAUAAAUAUCUUUCCAACACUAA
Molecule: long non-coding RNA, 1714 nt
Organism: Apis cerana (Asiatic honeybee)
Lineage: Eukaryota; Metazoa; Arthropoda; Insecta; Hymenoptera; Apidae
Source: RefSeq, a predicted model, not a curated record